AAUGGAUUGUGCAGAAGACAACACAUACCACUAAAUCAAUUCUAAUUGCAAGUAUUUCUAUUUCUACAGCCUGGCCUGGUAUCAUUUUGGUUAAUCCAGACGUCUGAAAGCUGCUCUAGUAGUCUGAGCAGGUAAAAAGCUUUACUGUGUUCUUUGAGCUAGAGGUGUGUGUGUACAACUGAGACAAAUUACACAGGAGAGCUCAAAAGGAUGAGGGAGGAAGGCUGAGCUCUGCCACAUGACUGACUAAACCUUUCAUUUCUCAGUAGGAUUCCUGCUGAAGUUUUCUCUUGGACAAGGUACCAUGAACACACAUUAUGAGCUUAACAUGAGCCAGGGAUCGUUUCCAUCCCAUACUGUGGAUGGCACCAUCCUGUUAUGAGAGGUGCUGCCACCUCAGCCUCAGGAGGGUUGCCAUCCAUGCUGAGGUGGUCCUCAAGCUGAUCAGCAUCCAGAAGAUUCAGCAGAGCUGGACUGUGGGAAAACUGUGGGAAGGCUUCUUGAGGAACAAGGUGAUAAUGCUGUUAUUUAGAAGCUUUGCAGCUGAACCUAAGAAAUAUAUUUAUGCUACAACAGUGAAUGGAGCAACAGCAAAUUGUCUAAGUAUCUAUACUUAUUUAUACUUCAAGUAUUCUUGAGCCACAGCCAAGGUAUUUGUAUGUUGUGGUCAGGCACUUACCUGUGCCUGCACUUAAUUAACUCACCAGUUAUCUAUUUAUAUUUAAGUUACAGUUAAAAGUUCUAAUCAUUGAACAGGGCUUCACUAGAUAUUAAUUUUCAAGUGGUGUAGACAAAUAGGAGUGGAUUUACAGAGUGAUCUCAGUGACUUUGCACAUAUUUUAGAAGGUAUUUGAUUCAGACUAAUUCUAGGCCAUUUCUGUGGGCCAAACACCCAGGGGUUCAGUUCCUUGUGAUUUCAUCCAGAUCAUGGUGCUCAAGACUCAUUGUGUGAUGUGAACCAAAGCAUAGGAGGUGACCAGUAGUGACCAUAUACACUUCAAAUAUAUUCUAAACUGAAAAAAAACCCCAGGAGAUUUCAUCACUGUGUACCAAAAAUACAAAACACAUUUACAUGAAUGUAAACAUGAAACAAAUUAUGUAAUAUACUCAUGUUUCUGCUCUACUACAUAUCUUUGUACUGAAACACCAAAUGUUGGCCAUAAAGGGAAAGGAAAAUGAAAGAAGUCAGAUCACUUUAAUUUUGAAAAAAGCCAAACUUGGAGAAUGUUGAAUACAAGGAGAAACGGACGUACAGCUAUAAAUAUGGAAUUGCAUUUUUUUCAAAGGAGGUACUUAAAGAAAAAAUUAUCAAACAAGUUAACUAGUGCAGGGCUAUAUUUAUACCUAAGUUUUCAUGGAGAAUGUCUUAUGAAUUGGAUUAUUACAUAUAGUUUUUCUAUAAAAAGUAUAUGUAAUUGCUUUAUGUACCAGAUAUACACCCUUAACCCAGUGUAAGGCCAUACCUUUAUACUUCAAUGGUAGAUUACAUUCAUAACAACAGGACUAAAUUCUGCAGUCUUCAAGCCUUUGUCAAGGAAAUGCAACAGUUUUCAUAUCAUAGUUCUGGAAUUUUAACCCAUGAUUUUUACAAAUAAAAAAAAUAAUUGCAUGAAAAAAUACA
Molecule: long non-coding RNA, 1621 nt
Filed under: Parus major (Great Tit)
Lineage: Eukaryota; Metazoa; Chordata; Aves; Passeriformes; Paridae
Description: lncRNA (ENSPMJG00000012461.1)
Source: RNAcentral